Long non-coding RNA from Mesoplodon densirostris (Blainville's beaked whale), 3063 nucleotides. RefSeq lists it as uncharacterized. The record is from RefSeq and is a predicted model, not a curated record. The transcript has 3 exons. Lineage: Eukaryota; Metazoa; Chordata; Mammalia; Artiodactyla; Ziphiidae.
CGAGGCGGGGGUGGCGGCGACCCCCCAGUGGCGCUCCAUGGGCGCGCCGAGCCGGCCCGCUCCCAUCCGCAGCAGGAACCGCUGCCGACCGAGCUAGCCCCCCAAGGCCAGUGCCCUCGUCGCCUCCUCCGCGGCAAUCCAGCCAGAGCAGAAGAACACCCUCGGCAGGCCGCCUCUUCCGUUGCGCCAACGCGCAGCAAGCCAAUCCAAGCAAGCUAGGGGCGGCCCGAAGGCCUCGUGUCCAAUCGGGUGCCUGAUUCGAGGCGGAUCGACCGCGCCUCCGUCCAGUGAAAGGCUCGGGGCGGGGCGGAGGACGGCAAGGGAGGGGAUCCGGGCUGGGCAGAGGAGAAGGCGGUGUUGCUGAGCGGAGAGUGAUGGCGGCGCCGCCCAAUGGACGCGUUGGUGGAGGGGUCCGCGCCCCCUUCCACCGGGGUGCACAGUGUUUUCCCAGUCCCUGCCUGCCUUUGAUACCCUCCCGGCCAAAUGCAAGUGACAGACAAGCUCAGAAUGAACAGCCUAUGUUUGUUCUCAUUUGGGUGGCCUUGGUUUAUCUCCAUAUCUCUAAAGCAAUUCUGGACACAAACUGAACGUACUCAUGAAACCAACACCCAAAUCAAAGACCUCUCACUGUUGUGGCCUCUCCCGUUGCAGAGUACAGGCUCCGGACGCGCAGGCUCAGCGGCCAUGGCUCACGGGCCCAGCCGCUCCGCGGCAUGUAGGAUCUUCCCGAACUGGGGCACGAACCCGUGUCCCCUGCAUCGGCAGGCGGACUCUUAACCACUGCGCCACCAGGGAAGCCCUGUACUGACUUCUUUUUCUCAACAUCAUGUCUGUGCGAUAUAUCCACAUUGAGUGUAGCAGUAUUUUCAUUUGUAUUCAUUGUUGUGCACUAGUAUUCUACUGUAUGACUUUACCCCAACUUUUAUAUAUAUAUAUAUAUAUAUCUAUAUCUCCAUUCUGUCCAUUCUACUGUGGAUAGACCUUUGGGUUGAUGCCAGUUUGGGGCUAUUUUGAACAGUGCACUUAGAAAUAUUCUUGCACAUAUCUUGGUAUACAUGAGCUCUUGUUUCUGUCAUGUACAUACCCAGGAGUGGAAUUGCUGGGUCAUAGGUUAUGCAUGUGUUCAACUUUAGUAGAUACUGCCUAUUUUCCAACAGGGUUUUACUAACUUACAUUACCCCUAAAGUUUGAGAGUUCAGUUGCUGUAUAUUUCCAUCAACAUUUGAUCUUGUCAGACACUUUCAUUUUAGCCAUUCUGAUAGGUGUCUUUGUAAAUUUAUACUUAAUAUUUUUCUUGUUCCCUAGAGGCUCUAAGUUUUACUGUUUUCCUGGAUUUCAUUGUUAUAAUUGUUAAUAGUACAUGACUGAUCAAAACAACACUUUUCUCUCCUCCCCCCCACCCCUGCCCUUGCUUUUAGACACUCCUUUAGACUACUCACAAUUAUAUUGGAGACAGUGAGUGAUAGAAGGGGGCACUUAAGGUGGGCUCUUUGCGUUAUUAUUGUGUCUCUCCAAGGCCUGUCCCCAUACUCUGCACUCAGUAGGAGCAAAAUAAAUAUCUGUUGUAUAAGUACAUGAAAAAAAUGACAUGAAAGCCUAUAUGUCUCCACCAUACUUUGUGAGUCAUUCCCGACCACUGGAGGGUAUGCAGGUGUCUUACUCAUUUUAGGCCUUAGACCUGGCACAGGGGAAUCCUUUAACAAACAAUAUCUGCUAAACCAAACUGACCUCCAGCUGCCUCACCUCAUGCAGCCUCAGGCCAUUGAGCCUGGGCACAUACAAGAUGAUUAUAUUCAUAUUGUCACAACAUCCCUGAGACUAUAUUAAUUAUAUAUUGCACAUCAUUACACUAUUAUAGCAGGUGGCAGAUCUUGGCACACCGGGCAGAGAUGUGAUGGUGUGAAAUCUCACUUUAAAUGGGGUCCCAGGCUCCAGACACCUGAUCAGCUGUGGGUCAUGGGCAUGGAGAACAUCCAACUCUGGGGCCCACAGGCCAGAGUCUUCCCUUGCAUUGUCCCCUCUGGUCCUUCGUCCCUCCCAGUCUUGCAGAUCAGCUGUAAAUUGGGUCAUACUUGUAUCCGUUUCAUAGGGUCAUUGUGAGGAUUAAACAAGUUAAUAUAUGUAAGGCACCUAGCCCAGCACCUGGUAUGCAACAAGGUAUGGGGUAAGUGGUAGCACUUUUUAUUAUUGCUGUUAUUAACAGCAGCAGCAGCAGGGAUGAGGAACGCUGAGUGACCAUGCCCUGCACCAAGUGUGGACUUCAUGGCCCUGGGCUACAUGGAAAAGAGCAGAAAGGGGAGCAUGUGAUUUUUAUCCAUAAAGAGUUAUCACUUCCAGCACAGACUAGCCCAGGGACCCUGAACACUACUCUCCCUGAAAAUGGGGGCGGAGGUGUUCCUUGGCCAUCAGCUUCACGAUAGUGCAUUGGUAGAAAGCAAGGGACCUCAAGGCUUGAAUGACUCCAUUUCUAGGAGACUCCUAUAAGAGCAGGACACAUGCUGUGAAGUUUGAAUCUGGCCAAGAAUGGGAAUUUCUGCCUGCUGGAAGGGCUUUGUCAGAGCCUAAAGGAGGCCCCUCGUGCAAUGGGGCAAACUGCCACUGGACACACCUGUCAGUCAUCACCUCUCUGGGACAGAAGCAGUAGCUAGAUACUUCCAAGGAGCUUGUCAGUGAAGGAACCUCCUCUGGGUGUCUCCUCCUAAGACAGGGAACCAGUGCUACUCACGCUUUGAACUGGUUCAAGAGGGAUGUCACCCACUGAGGCCAAGAAACCAAGAGGGGAAUGCCUUGGAAGAAAAAAGAGGGCCUUUGCCACAGAAUCCUCCUGUCCCAAGUCUUUCCCUUGACUUUCUGAACUCUUCACUUUCUGACUUACAAAAAGAACCUGUACAGAAAAGGGGGAAUCAGGCAGGGAUGAACAAGACUAUCCAUGAGUCCAUAAUUAUUGAAGGUGUGUAAUGGGCACGUGGAGGGGAAAGGUAAUUAUUCUAGUUUCUGUACUUCUGUGUGUGCUUAAAAGCUUUCCAUUAAAAAAAAAAGUUUCUUAAAAGAAGCUAUGAAUAA